RNAcentral lists this long non-coding RNA (2961 nucleotides) under Zea mays. Its description in RNAcentral is "long non-coding RNA (ZMAY_LNC001255)". The record is from RNAcentral. Lineage: Eukaryota; Viridiplantae; Streptophyta; Magnoliopsida; Poales; Poaceae.
AAAGUAUCUCGUAGAAUGGACGGCGAAAUUCCCUUGCAUAGUUUCAAAAGGAAUAUACUGUUCAAAACAACUACAGCACAAAAUUGUGUAAUUCUGCAAAAUCAAGCGAAUGCAAAUACUGAGAUAAAUGGUACUUGUUCUAUGUUCUAUGCGACCUGCUGUUUCUUGCUCUUCUUCAGGCAUUUGCUUCUUUCUACAGAUUUUCUUCUCUUGGGACUGCACAUUUCACCAUCGUUGUCUGGCUCCUCGUCCCGUUCAAUAGUUCUACUCUUCUUUUUCUUUUUUUUCUUUUUUUCUUUUCUAGCAUACAUUUCACCAUUAUUAUCACUAUGGUCGACCACUCCAACUUGUUCUUCGUCCUCUUCAGUUGGUCUGCUCUUCUUUUUCUUCUUUUCUUUUCGGACUUCAGCCUCCGCCUCCACUAAAGACUCCAAUUGCUUGAAUUUCAUCUCUCCAGGCUCUAGAGCAAUAAUAGUGUUAGCAUGGGACCACGCAGAUGCCCUUGGAGAAAAUGGGAUUAAUGAAAAAUGCCAUUUCAGGUUUACAAUCUAAAAAGGUUCUAAUGACAAAAGGGGGCUGCCAUCUCAACCACCAUGUUAUUCAGGUAUGUGAUUGUUUACAUUGCCUAUUGUUAAACUUCUUCUAAACUAAGAAAUUGCAUUUGAAACUACGAACAACAAACAAUUGAUGUGCAGUGACAACUGUUGUGAAUAGAUAAUAACCUUCAACAGAAAAAUGUGAAUCAAGGACCACCGUUGUAAGGUGCUGCUUCAGAAAGACCUGCAUGAGAACAAAACAAGACAACUAGUUAAUCAUAGAAAUAGCUUAAAAUAUAUUAGAAAUCAUUCAUUUACAUCGAAGUAGACAUUUGAAACAAGUAUACUAUCAACUGCCAGUGACCACCAAGUUACUUCAUUUUGUUUGUGAAAUGAAAUGGAGGCCCAAAAUUAGUUCGUAAUGCAGCAAAACAAAAUUAACUCCAAUAUGUGCUUGAAUGUUAUGUCAGCCCUCAGCAGUUCUCGAACUUACAGCAGAUAGCAACUGUCUUGUGUUUGUGUCCCAGAUACGUAAGUAGCUAUCCAGUCCUACAAAGACAAACAUUUCCUGAGUUAUUCAUAAUUCUGAAACUUGAUGUUUUAAUUUGUAACAGAAACUAUCUAGAAUGCCAAGUGAAACAGGCAUCCCAGUAGAAAGAAUCUAAGCCUUUCUGGAGGUAGUCUUACCGCAAGAUGCUAUCAAAGGUAGCUCUGGAUGCCUAACAAUAGAUCUAAUACUUCCACUGCAUUUGCCAAUAUAGCAUCCCAGCAAUUUCCCUAAAAUGUGGGGGAAAUGUUGAUUUUGCAAUUUUAGUAUCAGAUAAAAAUUGAAGUAACAGUACUGAUAAUAAAACGGUCAAAUUUAGCUCAUCGCCGCUUGCACAUGUGAUACUUGCAACCAUUUUCUUCCUGUUAGUGUUACUGAUAACCUAUUUUCUCUCCUUAACAACCAUCUAAACAACAGUUCUACACAAGUGUUACUAAUAACCUAUUUUCUAUCCUUAACUACUAUCUAAGCAACAGUUUUACACAAAUUAUAGCCCAUGUUCAGCCUGCCCACAAUGUAUAUUCCUAUCAGUACACAUGUAGGUCAGCAUUGUUUUAGUUGGAAUACCACCUUAGAUGCAGACUACAGGCUAACAAAAGAGAGAAAAACUUAAGUAGCAACAGUGGAACAGAAGGUGCAUUGCCAGUUGUAACAAUCCAACACUACAAAAAAUAGAAACUGAACUAACAUAACAUUCUAAAGAAUGUGUCAUAUGAUCAAGUUUUCAAUUCUGAUUAAGAAGAGGGUACUAGCAUAUAGCAGCAUGCCAGCAUCUUACCUGUUCUCAUGUCGAAAGAAGCAAGGUCCCCUGUUCCUGUGCCAAUAUAGACAUCAUGCCCAUUUGGAUCAGCAGCAACUGCCUUGAUUGGUGACUCCCUAAAAUCAACAGAGACGGCAGGUCUUCUUUGCAAUGCAGUAUCAUAUAAGCGGACCUGAAAAGGUAAACAACGUUCGCAUAAAAUGAGUAUCAUCAUCAUCAUCAUUCAUUAGCAAAAUAUGGAGAGAUACCGGUGCCUUUACAUGAACAUGCCUUGCUAAUCUACUGCCUACAAGACUGUAAUGACACAAGUGCAAUAAAUUUCCCAGUACAACCCCCCAGUCAGUUAAUAGAUGCCUGAGUCACCAAGUGGGUUGUGAAGGUUGAUGUGAGGACCUGGUUAACCAGUUUAUGCAAAGCAAGAAUAAAAGUGUAAGAAGGAUGCUAGCUAUCUGUAGGCCUGUCACAUUGGAGGUAUGCCUUUGGGCGAGUUCUUAGCCUGGCAUAUUAGAGCAUCUCCAUCAGAUCCUAUCCAAUCUCCUAUAUCUAAGAAGUUGGGGUUUAGGAGAGGAAGGAGCUGCAACAGAUCUCCUAUAUCUAUAAUUUUACGAGAUCUCCUAAAAGAAGCAUAAUUUCUCCAAAAUAAAGGAGAUAAUUCUUCUCCCCUAUAUCCCUAAAAAAUAUGAGACAAGUUUAGGUAAUCUGCUGCGGCAGUACUCUCCUAUAUCCUAAAUUGACUUUAGAGUACUCCCUUAAAACAACUUAUAGAAGAUAUGACAUGAGAAAUCUGAUGGAGAUACUCACAGCUUAAAAACGUCAUGCAUUUAAACAAAUACGCAUAAACUUCGAAGCAAAAAACUAGCAUCCUUGCAGCUCAGGCACAUGAUAAUCUAUUUGAUCAAAAUAUGUUCAAUCUGUUGGAGUUUUUUUCUUUCAUAGCAAGAGAUACAAGCAUCAGUUUACAUUACCUGAUGAUUAUUUGUGCAGGCAACAAUUUUACGAUGAUCAUUCUUGCACAAGAAGGUUCCAGCAGUGAACCAAGGUCGAGUGAAUAUGCCAAGACUAUUUGCUCGGGGCUUCAGAUGAAACAAAGGAAGAAAAUCAUUUAAUAAAUGAUGAAG